UCGCGGCUUAUCACCGGCAGUCCCUCUAGAGUGCCCAACUAAAUGAUGGCAACUAAAGGCGAGGGUUGCGCUCGUUGCGGGACUUAACCCAACAUCUCACGACACGAGCUGACGACAACCAUGCACCACCUGUGCACGACCCUUACGGACCCCCCAUCUCUGGAGGAUUUCCGUGCAUGUCAAGCCUAGGUAAGGUUCUUCGCGUUGCAUCGAAUUAAAGAACAUGCUCCGCUGCUUGUGCGGGCCCCCGUCAAUUCUUUUGAGUUUUAGCCUUGCGGCCGUACUCCCCAGGCGGGACACUUAACGCGUUAACUUCGGCACAGAGGGAUUCGACUCCCCCCACACCCAGUGUCCAUCGUUUACAGCGUGGACUAC
Molecule: unclassified non-coding RNA, 375 nt
Filed under: uncultured bacterium
Lineage: Bacteria
Description: contains 16S-23S intergenic spacer region
Source: RNAcentral